AACGAACGCUGGCGGCAUGCCUAACACAUGCAAGUCGAACGAGACCUUCGGGCCUAGUGGCGCACGGGUGCGUAACGCGUGGGAACCUGCCCGUAGGUUCGGAAUAACUCCCCGAAAGGGGUGCUAAUACCGGAUAAUGUCUUCGGACCAAAGAUUUAUCGCCUUUGGAUGGGCCCGCGUUGGAUUAGCUAGUUGGUAGGGUAAAAGCCUACCAAGGCGACGAUCCAUAGCUGGUCUGAGAGGAUGAUCAGCCACACUGGGACUGAGACACGGCCCAGACUCCUACGGGAGGCAGCAGUGGGGAAUAUUGGACGAUGGGCGAAAGCCUGAUCCAGCAAUGCCGCGUGAGUGAUGAAGGCCUUAGGGUUGUAAAGCUCUUUUACCCGGGAUGAUAAUGACAGUACCGGGAGAAUAAGCUCCGGCUAACUCCGUG
RNAcentral lists this ribosomal RNA (433 nucleotides) under uncultured bacterium. RNAcentral's name for it is "partial 16S ribosomal RNA". It matches the Rfam family "Bacterial small subunit ribosomal RNA", at positions 29 to 507 of the family's 1533-position model. The record is from RNAcentral.